Molecule: long non-coding RNA, 3604 nt
Organism: Vitis vinifera (wine grape)
Lineage: Eukaryota; Viridiplantae; Streptophyta; Magnoliopsida; Vitales; Vitaceae
Exons: 2
Source: RefSeq, a predicted model, not a curated record
UGAAUAUCCUACAUCCUAUUUCUCACUCCCCCUACAAUUACCAUCAUUCCUAGCUUCUUAAUCUUUCUUCUUUUCCCCCUUUAUUCAAUAUCAUUAUUCCAUGUCUCCUUUCCAUGUGCUUCUGCCUCUACCAUUAAACAGGGACAGGAAGCACUCUCCUUUCUAACAUGGAAAAGCAGUCUUGAUAUUCAAUCCCAGUCCUUCCUCUCUUCUUGGUCCGGAAGCAAUCCUUGCUAUCAUUGGUUUGGAGUUACUUGCAACAAUCCUGCAGGAACCAUCUCCCACCUAAAUCUUAGUAGUUGUGGUCUAAGAGGUACACUCUACAAUCUCGAUUUUUCAUCUCUCCCUGACCUACUCUAUCUCAAUCUUCAAAAAAACUCAUUCUACAAAACAAUCCCCUCUAACAUCACCUACCUUUCCAAGCUCACCUUCCUUAGCUUGUCUAUCAAUGCCCUCUCCGGUGAUAUUCCAUAUGGAAUUGGAAUGUUGAGGUCUCUUGAAGAACUUUUUUUGUCAUAUAAUGUCUUUGUCAGACUCAUCCCUCAAUCCAUAGGAAACUUGACGAAGUUAAUCACUUUGUGCUUUGAUACUAACAAUCUUUCUGGCCCCAUUCCUCAAGAAAUUGGAUUCUUGAGAUCUCUUAAUAGUCUUGACUUGUCAAUAAAAAAUCUCGAAGGUCCAAUCCCUCCUUCCAUAGGAAACUUAAGGAAUUUAACCAGUUUGUUUCUUUAUGAGAACAACCUUUCUGGUUCCAUUCCUCAGGAAAUUGGAUUGUUAAGAUCUCUUAAUGAUCUUGUUUUGUCAAUCAACAAGUUCAGUGGUCACAUCCCUUCUUUCAUAGGAAACUUGAGGAACUUAACCUCUUUAUUCCUUAAUGAUAACAAAUUUUCUAGUUCCAUACCUCAAGAAAUUGGGUUGUUAAGAUCUCUUAAUUGUCUUGACUUGUCAAUCAACAAUCUCGAAGGUCCAAUCCCUCCUUCCAUAGGAAACUUAAGGAAUUUAACCUGUUUGUAUCUUUAUAAGAGCAACCUUUCUGGUUCCAUUCCUCAGGAAAUUGGAUUGUUAAGAUCUCUUAAUGAUCUUGUGUUAUCAAUCAACAAUCUCAGUGGUCCCAUUCCUCCUUCCAUAGGAAAUUUGAUGAACUUAACCCAUUUGUCCCUUCAUCAUAACAAACUUUCUGGCUCUAUCCCUCUAGAAAUGGAUAAUCUCAUACAUUUGAAAUCUUUGCAAUUAGGUGAGAAUAAUUUCACUGGCCAUUUACCUCAGCAAAUAUGCCUAGGUGGAGGACUUGAAAAUUUUACAGCCUUGGUCAACAAUUUCACUGGUCCUAUUCCAACAAGCUUGAGAAUUUGCACUAGCUUAGUCUAAGUUAGGCUCGAACAAAACCAACUUAGAGGAAACAUAAUUGAAGCUUUUGGUGUAUACCCAAACUUGAGUUAUAUGGAUUUGAGUUACAACAAUUUGUAUGGUGAGCUUUCUCCGGAAUGGGGCCAGUGCCAUAGCUUAACAAGCCUAAAAAUCUCCAACAACAAUCUUUCUGGUGUCUUACCAGCUCAACUUGGGGAAGCAAUUCAGCUGCAUCAACUUGACCUCUCCUCGAAUCAUCUACUUGGGAAAAUCCCUAGAGAAUUGGGUAAGCUAACCUCAAUGUUCCAUUUGGCGUUAAGCGACAACCACCUUUCAGGCAACAUUCCUUGGGAAGUGAGAAAUCUUGUUAAUCUUGAGCAUCUUAGCUUGGCAUCAAACAACUUAAGUGGUUCAAUUCCCAAACAACUGGGAAAACUUUCUAAAGUAUUCUUCUUGAACUUGAGCAAGAAUGAAUUUGGGGAUAGCAUUCCUGAUGAGAUCGGGAACAUACAUUCUCUUCAAAGUCUCGAUCUCAGUCAAAAUAUGCUGAAUGGGAAAAUACCACCACAGCUUGCAGAAUUACAACGCUUAGAAGCAUUGAAUCUCUCCCACAAUGAACUCUUUGGUUCCAUCCCAUCCACUUUUGAAGAUAUGUUGAGUUUGACAUCUGUUGAUUUAUCCUCUAAUCACUUGGAGGGACCUCUCCCCGACAUCAAAGCUUUCCAGGAGGCUCCAUUUGAGGCAUUCAUAAACAAUGAUGGUUUAUGUGGCAAUGUCACUGGUAUGAAGCCCCGUAUCCCAUUCACAUGAAAGAAGAACAAUAGGUCUAUGAUUUUGAUUAUCUCCAGCUCCUUAUUUCUUCUAUGCAUUUCCAUGGGAAUUUAUUUUACCCUGUACUAGAGAGUAAGGAACAGAAAAAGCAAGUCCAGUGAAACACCAUGUGAAAAUCUAUUUGCAAUAUGGGGUCAUGAUGGAGAGAUAUUGUAUCAAGAUAUCAUUGAGGUGACUGAGGACUUCAACUCUAAAUAUUGUAUUGGGAGUGGAGGACAUGGCACAGUUUAUAAGGCUGAUCUCCUAACUGGUCGGGUUGUUGCUGUGAAAAAGCUUCACCCUCCACAAGAUGGUGAGAUGAGUAGUACUAGUGUGACAGCUUUUACAAGUGAAAUUCGGGCCUUAACAGAAAUUCGACAUCGCAACAUUGUGAAGUUUUAUGGCUAUUGCUCACAUGCAAGGCACUCGUUUUUGGUCUAUAAGCUGAUGGAGAAGGGAAGCCUAAGAAACAUUCUAAGCAACGAGGAAGAAGCAAUUAGGUUGGAUUGGAGUAGGAGGCUAAAUAUAGUGAAAGGUGUGGUGGAGACAUUAUCUUAUAUGCAUCAUGAUUGUUCACCCCCUAUUAUUCACAAGGACAUAUCCAGUAAAAAUGUUUUACUGGACUCUCAAUAUGAGGCUCAUGUAUCAAACUUCGGCACAGCAAGGCUUUUAAAGCCAGACUCAUAAUCCAAUUGGACCUCCUUCGCAGGCACCUUUGGGUAUAGUGCUCCAGAGCUUGCUUACACCACCCAAGUGAAUAACAAGACCGAUGUUUAUACCUUUGGGGUGGUGGCAUUGGAAGUGAUCAUGGGAAGGCAUCCUGGUGAUCUCAUCUCAUCCCUGUCAUCUUCUUCAGCAUCAGCAUCAGCAUCAUCAUCAUCAUCAUCAUCAGUUAGAGCAGUGGCUGAUUCUUUGUUGUUGAAGGAUGUAAUAGACCAACGCCUCCCACCUCCCAUAGAUCAAAUGAGUGAGAAAGUUGUGUUUGCUGUGAAGCUAGCAUUUGCGUGCCAGCAUGUGAAUCCCCAAUGUCGGCCAAACAUGAGGCAAGUUUCUCAGGUACUAUCAAUUAAGAAGCCACCAUUGCAAAAACCAUUCCCCAUUAUUAUGUUGAGAGAGCUGUUUCAGGGGUGAUCAUCCGGAAGCUUUCUACAGGUUCAAUCUGAAGAAGAUGAAAACCUCCGGAAUGCCAAUGAGCCACUCUUGAAGUAGCAUUUCUGUGACAUCGAGGAACAUCUACUAUUCUCUUUUUUAUUUUCCAACCUUUUGUCAUGUAAUUAAUUCUCAUGCAGAAUCAGACUUGUGGUUGAGCUCUUUUUCAAUCUUUGGUUAGUGUCCAGAAAAAUAGAACUUGUAAUUAUGCUCAUUUUGGAUAUUCAGUUUUUUGCUCACUGUAGUAAUCCUUGAUCUAUUCCUUUUUCAAUCAAGUUGGUUUCUUCUGUUGAGGAUA